AGAAAAGGAUGGAACUCUGAGCAUCUUGCAUGGUUGGAGAAAGAGAAAAUAACUUUCACAAACUAGGCCUGAGUAUGGGUUGUGUGGGGUGUUUGGCUAUGUGUUACCUAAUGGGGUAACAGACAAAUCUAUUUGGUUACCUAAAAAAUGUGCUCUCCCUUUCAGAACCUCUUACCAACAACCACACCUCAGGAAGCUCAGCAGUGGUUGCAUCGAAAUCGUUUUUCUACAUUCACAAGGCUUUUCACAAACUUCUCAGGGGCAGAUUUAUUGAAAUUAACUAGAGAUGAUGUGAUCCAAAUCUGUGGCCCUGCAGAUGGAAUCAGACUUUUUAAUGCAUUAAAAGGCCGGAUGGUGCGUCCAAGGUUAACCAUUUAUGUUUGUCAGGAAUCACUGCAAUUGAGGGAGCAGCAACAACAGCAGCAGCAACAGCAGCAGAAGCAUGAGGAUGGAGACUCAAAUGGUACUUUCUUCGUUUACCAUGCUAUCUAUCUGGAAGAACUGACAGCUGUUGAAUUGACAGAAAAAAUUGCUCAGCUUUUCAGCAUUUCCCCUUGCCAGAUCAGCCAGAUUUACAAGCAGGGGCCAACAGGAAUUCAUGUGCUCAUCAGUGAUGAGAUGAUACAGAACUUUCAGGAAGAAGCAUGUUUUAUUCUGGACACAAUGAAAGCAGAAACCAAUGAUAGCUAUCAUAUCAUACUGAAGUAGGAGUGCGGCGUUUCGUGCCCAGUGGCUGCUGCUUCCUUCACCUCUGAAGAUGGCCCUCUUGAAGGGGGGAUAUGAAUGGAGAUU
RNAcentral lists this small RNA (792 nucleotides) under Pongo abelii (Sumatran orangutan). Its description in RNAcentral is "retained intron". The record is from RNAcentral. Lineage: Eukaryota; Metazoa; Chordata; Mammalia; Primates; Hominidae.